UCCGGGCGGACGCCGAGUCCUGCCGCCGCCCGGAUGACCGGUCGACAGGAGUGGAUCGGCAGGAGUGGAGGACCCGAGCACGACGGGUCGCCGGGACGGUCACGCCAUGACCGGGUCCGAGCAGCCCUUGGGGUGAAGCCGCGACCACGCGGCCGGGCAACUUCGCCAGCCCGAAUCCGACAGGUCAUCCUUCACAGGCGGCUGACGAAGGGUUG
This 215-nucleotide small RNA is filed under the name Streptomyces sp. Its description in RNAcentral is "c-di-AMP sequence". It matches the Rfam family "c-di-AMP riboswitch aptamer (ydaO/yuaA leader)". From Rfam's summary of the family: This family represents a conserved RNA structure found upstream of the ydaO and yuaA genes in Bacillus subtilis and related genes in other bacteria. The ydaO/yuaA element is thought to act as a genetic "off" switch for the ydaO and yuaA genes in its native state. It is believed that the element may be triggered during osmotic shock leading to activation of ydaO, a predicted amino acid transporter gene, and members of the yuaA-yubG operon which code for KtrA and KtrB K+ transporters. The record is from RNAcentral. Lineage: Bacteria; Bacillati; Actinomycetota; Actinomycetes; Kitasatosporales; Streptomycetaceae.